AUUGAACGCUGGCGGCAGGCCUAACACAUGCAAGUCGAGCGGAUGAAGGGAGCUUGCUCCUGGAUUCAGCGGCGGACGGGUGAGUAAUGCCUAGGAAUCUGCCUGGUAGUGGGGGAUAACGUCCGGAAACGGGCGCUAAUACCGCAUACGUCCUGAGGAGAAAGUGGGGGAUCUUCGGACCUCACGCCAUCAGAAGAGCCUAGGUCGGAUUAGCUAGUUGGUGGGGUAAAGGCCUACCAAGGCGACGAUCCGUAACUGGUCUGAGAGGAUGAUCAGUCACACUGGAACUGAGACACGGUCCAGACUCCUACGGGAGGCAGCAGUGGGGAAUAUUGGACAAUGGGCGAAAGCCUGAUCCAGCCAUGCCGCGUGUGUGAAGAAGGUCUUCGGAUUGUAAAGCACUUUAAGUUGGGAGGAAGGGCAGUAAGUUAAUACCUUGCUGUUUUGACGCUACCAACAGAAUAAGCACCGGCUAACUUCGUG
Molecule: ribosomal RNA, 483 nt
Filed under: uncultured bacterium
Lineage: Bacteria
Description: partial 16S ribosomal RNA
Rfam family: Bacterial small subunit ribosomal RNA
Source: RNAcentral